This 385-nucleotide ribosomal RNA is filed under the name uncultured bacterium. RNAcentral's name for it is "bacterial SSU rRNA". It matches the Rfam family "Bacterial small subunit ribosomal RNA", at positions 30 to 416 of the family's 1533-position model. The record is from RNAcentral.
AUUGAACGCUGGCGGCAUGCCUUACACAUGCAAGUCGAACGGCAGCACGGGAGCAAUCCUGGUGGCGAGUGGCGAACGGGUGAGUAAUAUAUCGGAACGUGCCCAGUCGUGGGGAUAACGUAGCGAAAGCUACGCUAAUACCGCAUACGAUCUAUGGAUGAAAGCGGGGGAUCGCAAGACCUCGCGCGAUUGGAGCGGCCGAUAUCAGAUUAGGUAGUUGGUGAGGUAAAGGCUCACCAAGCCGACGAUCUGUAACUGGUCUGAGAGGACGACCAGCCACACUGGGACUGAGACACGGCCCAGACUCCUACGGGAGGCAGCAGUGGGGAAUUUUGGACAAUGGGCGCAAGCCUGAUCCAGCAAUGCCGCGUGCAGGAUGAAGGCC